UAAGGAGAUAUACUAUGUUAGAUGAAGCCACUAUCCUGCAAUUCAUUGAUCUAUUUUCUCAACUCUUCUAUCUCAAUAAGAUUCAUACGGUAAGGGGCAACCGAGAUAGGCUGAAUGUCAGGCUGAAGAUUUAUGGUGAACUCAACUUCUCUAUCCACUAGUAGUCCAUGUAGUUUAUCACAAAACACAUCCGAAAAUUUUUGGACUGCCGAGAUCUCUUGAAUACAAAUUUCUUUCUUAUGUUUGCCAUAUAUCACGUCCGGGUUGCCUUCAGCAUCUUACUGGGUGAGGUUGUAAGUUCUGCCCUUGAUAGUAGGUCUAGCUUAAUUUUGAUUUCGCAGGCACUCUCUCGCAUAAUAUUGGGUAUUCUCACAUAU
Molecule: long non-coding RNA, 377 nt
Filed under: Carica papaya (papaya)
Lineage: Eukaryota; Viridiplantae; Streptophyta; Magnoliopsida; Brassicales; Caricaceae
Description: long non-coding RNA (CPAP_LNC012733)
Source: RNAcentral